RNAcentral lists this ribosomal RNA (497 nucleotides) under uncultured bacterium. RNAcentral describes it as "partial 16S ribosomal RNA". It matches the Rfam family "Bacterial small subunit ribosomal RNA", at positions 28 to 507 of the family's 1533-position model. The record is from RNAcentral.
GACGAACGCUGGCGGCGUGCCUAAUACAUGCAAGUUGAGCGCCGAAGGUUGGUACUUGUACCAACUGGAUGAGCAGCGCACGGGUGAGUAACGCGUGGGGAAUCUGUCUUUGAGCGGGGGACACCAUUAGGAAACGAAUGCUAAUACCGCAUAAAAACUUUAAACACAAGUUUUACGUUUGAAAGAUGCAAUUGCAUCACUCAAAGAUGAUCUCGCGUUGUAUUAGCUAGGUUGUGGGGUAAAGGCCCACCAAGGCGAGGAUACAUAGCGGACCUGGGAGGGGGAUCCGCCACAAUGGGAAUGAGACACGGCCCAAGACUCUACCGGGGGGAGCAAGAGGGGAACUUUGGCCAUGGACGGAAGUCUGACUGAGCAACGCCGGGGUGGGGGAGAAAGGUUUCGGAGCGUAAAACUAUGUUGGUAGGGAAGAAAGUUGGUGGGAGUAAAAAGCUCAGCAAAUGACGGUAACUACACAGAAAGGGACGGCUAACUACGUG